ACGUACACUCCUACGGGAGGCAGCAGUGGGGAAUAUUGCACAAUGGGCGCAAGCCUGAUGCAGCCAUGCCGCGUGUAUGAAGAAGGCCUUCGGGUUGUAAAGUACUUUCAGCGGGGAGGAAGGCGAUAAGGUUAAUAACCUUGUCGAUUGACGUUACCCGCAGAAGAAGCACCGGCUAACUCCGUGCCAGCAGCCGCGGUAAUACGGAGGGUGCAAGCGUUAAUCGGAAUUACUGGGCGUAAAGCGCACGCAGGCGGUCUGUCAAGUCGGAUGUGAAAUCCCCGGGCUCAACCUGGGAACUGCAUUCGAAACUGGCAGGCUAGAGUCUUGUAGAGGGGGGUAGAAUUCCAGGUGUAGCGGUGAAAUGCGUAGAGAUCUGGAGGAAUACCGGUGGCGAAGGCGGCCCCCUGGACAAAGACUGACGCUCAGGUGCGAAAGCGUGGGGAGCAAACAGGAUUAGAUACCCGAGUAGUCCCA
RNAcentral lists this ribosomal RNA (477 nucleotides) under uncultured organism. RNAcentral describes it as "partial 16S ribosomal RNA". It matches the Rfam family "Bacterial small subunit ribosomal RNA", at positions 329 to 797 of the family's 1533-position model. The record is from RNAcentral.